GAGUUUGGCACCUCGAUGUCGGCUCAUCACAUCCUGGGGCUGUAGUCGGUCCCAAGGGUAUGGCUGUUCGCCAUUUAAAGUGGUACGUGAGCUGGGUUUAAAACGUCGUGAGACAGUUUGGUCCCUAUCUGCAGUGGGCGUUGGAAGUUUGACGGGGGCUGCUCCUAGUACGAGAGGACCGGAGUGGACGAACCUCUGGUGUACCGGUUGUAACGCCAGUUGCAUAGCCGGGUAGCUAAGUUCGGAAGAGAUAAGCGCUGAAAGCAUCUAAGCGCGAAACUCGCCUGAAGAUGAGACUUCCCUUGCGGUUUAACCGCACUAAAGAGUCGUUCGAGACCAGGACGUUGAUAGGUGGGGUGUGGAAGCGCGGUAACGCGUGAAGCUAACCCAUACUAAUUGCUCGUGAGGCUUGACUCUAU
RNAcentral lists this ribosomal RNA (419 nucleotides) under Neisseria meningitidis. Its description in RNAcentral is "partial 23S ribosomal RNA". It matches the Rfam family "Bacterial large subunit ribosomal RNA", at positions 2514 to 2925 of the family's 2925-position model. The record is from RNAcentral. Lineage: Bacteria; Pseudomonadati; Pseudomonadota; Betaproteobacteria; Neisseriales; Neisseriaceae.